GAACGCACAUUGCGCCCUUCGGUAUUCCGUUGGGCAUGCCUGUUCGAGCGUCAUUUGACCCUUCAAGCUCUGCUUGGUGUUGGGCGUUUGUUCCGCCUCCGCGCGUGGACUCGCCUCAAAUUCAUUGGCAGCCGGCAAGUUGGCUUCGUGCGCAGCACAUUGCGUCACGGCUCCAGUCUGCCUCCGUCCAGUAAGGCUCCUCAUCACUUUGACCUCGGAUCAGGUAGGGAUACCCGCUGAACUUAAG
This 247-nucleotide unclassified non-coding RNA is filed under the name uncultured Pleosporales. RNAcentral describes it as "sequence contains 5.8S rRNA gene". The record is from RNAcentral. Lineage: Eukaryota; Fungi; Ascomycota; Dothideomycetes; Pleosporales.